Molecule: ribosomal RNA, 460 nt
Filed under: uncultured bacterium
Lineage: Bacteria
Description: partial 16S ribosomal RNA
Rfam family: Bacterial small subunit ribosomal RNA
Source: RNAcentral
CCUACGGGUGGCAGCAGUGAGGAAUAUUGGUCAAUGGACGAGAGUCUGAACCAGCCAAGUAGCGUGAAGGAUGACUGCCCUAUGGGUUGUAAACUUCUUUUAUAUGGGAAUCAAACGUUCCACGUGUGGGAUUUUGUAUGUACCAUAUGAAUAAGGAUCGGCUAACUCCGUGCCAGCAGCCGCGGUAAUACGGAGGAUCCGAGCGUUAUCCGGAUUUAUUGGGUUUAAAGGGAGCGUAGGUGGAUUGUUAAGUCAGUUGUGAAAGUUUGCGGCUCAACCGUAAAAUUGCAGUUGAAACUGGCAGUCUUGAGUACAGUAGAGGUGGGCGGAAUUCGUGGUGUAGCGGUGAAAUGCUUAGAUAUCACGAAGAACUCCGAUUGCGAAGGCAGUUCACUGGACUGCAACUGACACGGAGGCGCGAAAGUGUGGGUAUCAAACAGGAUUAGAUACCCUUGUAGUC